RNAcentral lists this ribosomal RNA (253 nucleotides) under uncultured bacterium. RNAcentral describes it as "partial 16S ribosomal RNA". It matches the Rfam family "Bacterial small subunit ribosomal RNA", at positions 524 to 776 of the family's 1533-position model. The record is from RNAcentral.
UACGGAGGAUGCAAGCGUUAUCCGGAAUGAUUGGGCGUAAAGCGUCCGCAGGUGGCUAUGUAAGUCUGCUGUUAAAGAGUGAGGCUCAACCUCAUAAGAGCAGUGGAAACUACAUGGCUAGAGUGCGUUCGGGGCAGAGGGAAUUCCUGGUGUAGCGGUGAAAUGCGUAGAGAUCAGGAAUAACACCGGUGGCGAAAGCGCUCUGCUAGGCCGCAACUGACACUGAGGGACGAAAGCUAGGGGAGCGAAUGGG